CAAACGGCUCUUUUUAGAGCCACCGAUUCAGUUUUUAAGAACACCU
Regulatory RNA element from Anopheles gambiae str. PEST, 46 nucleotides. It matches the Rfam family "Histone 3' UTR stem-loop". From Rfam's summary of the family: The mRNAs of metazoan histone genes lack a poly-A tail. NCBI's taxonomy places the organism in Eukaryota, Metazoa, Arthropoda, Insecta, Diptera, Culicidae. The record is from Rfam.